ACGGAAGGCAGCAGUGGGGAAUAUUGCACAAUGGGCGCAAGCCUGAUGCAGCGAUGCCGCGUGAGGGAUGAAGGUUUUCGGAUUGUAAACCUCUGUCAACAGGGACGAAAAUGACGGUACCUGUGAAGGAAGCUCCGGCUAAUUACGUGCCAGCAGCCGCGGUAAUACGUAUGGAGCAAGCGUUAUCCGGAAUUACUGGGUGUAAAGGGAGUGUAGGCGGGACUGUAAGUCAGAUGUGAAAUAUGGCGGCUCAACUGGCAGACUGCAUUUGAAACUGCGGUUCUUGAGUGAAGUAGAGGUAAGCGGAAUUCCUAGUGUAGCGGUGAAAUGCGUAGAUAUUAGGAGGAACAUCAGUGGCGAAGGCGGCUUACUGGGCUUUAACUGACGCUGAGGCUCGAAAGCGUGGGGAGCAAACAGGAUUAGAUACCCUGGUA
This 434-nucleotide ribosomal RNA is filed under the name uncultured Ruminococcus sp. RNAcentral describes it as "partial 16S ribosomal RNA". It matches the Rfam family "Bacterial small subunit ribosomal RNA", at positions 341 to 792 of the family's 1533-position model. The record is from RNAcentral. Lineage: Bacteria; Bacillati; Bacillota; Clostridia; Eubacteriales; Oscillospiraceae.